UACAGAGGGUGCGAGCGUUAAUCGGAAUUAUUGGGCGUAAAGAGCUCGUAGGUGGCUUGUUGCGUCUGCCGUGAAAGCCCGUGGCUUAACUGCGGGUCUGCGGUGGAUACGGGCAGGCUAGAGGCUGGUAGGGGCAAGCGGAAUUCCUGGUGUAGCGGUGAAGUGCGCAGAUAUCAGGAGGAACACCGGUGGCGAAGGCGGCUUGCUGGGCCAGUUCUGACGCUGAGGAGCGAAAGCGUGGGGAGCGAACAGG
Molecule: ribosomal RNA, 253 nt
Filed under: uncultured bacterium
Lineage: Bacteria
Description: partial 16S ribosomal RNA
Rfam family: Bacterial small subunit ribosomal RNA
Source: RNAcentral